AUUGAACGCUGGCGGCAUGCUUUACACAUGCAAGUCGAACGGUAACAGGCCUUCGGGUGCUGACGAGUGGCGCACGGGUGAGUAAUGCAUCGGAACGUGCCCAGAGGUGGGGGAUAACGCAGCGAAAGCUGUGCUAAUACCGCAUGUGAUCUGAGGAUGAAAGCGGGGGACCAGGCAGCAAUGUUUGGCCUCGCGCCUUUGGAGCGGCCGAUGUCAGAUUAGGUAGUUGGUGGGGUAAAGGCCUACCAAGCCGACGAUCUGUAGCUGGUCUGAGAGGACGACCAGCCACACUGGGACUGAGACACGGCCCAGACUCCUACGGGAGGCAGCAGUGGGGAAUUUUGGACAAAGGGCGCAAGCCUGAUCCAGCAAUGCCGCGUGCGGGAAGAAGGCCUUCGGGUUGUAAACCGCUUUUGUACGGAACGAAAAGGCUCUGGCAAAUACCUGGGGCUGAUGACGGUACCGUAAGAAUAAGCACCGGCUAACUACGUG
RNAcentral lists this ribosomal RNA (492 nucleotides) under uncultured bacterium. Its description in RNAcentral is "partial 16S ribosomal RNA". It matches the Rfam family "Bacterial small subunit ribosomal RNA", at positions 29 to 507 of the family's 1533-position model. The record is from RNAcentral.